GACGAACGCUGGCGGCGUGCUUAACACAUGCAAGUCGAACGGAAAGGCCCUGCUUUUGUGGGGUGCUCGAGUGGCGACCGGGUGAGUAACACGUGAGUAACCUGCCCUUGACUUUGGGAUAACUUCAGGAAACUGGGGCUAAUACCGGAUAGGAGCUCCUGCUGCAUGGUGGGGGUUGGAAAGUUUCGGCGGUUGGGGAUGGACUCGCGGCUUAUCAGCUUGUUGGUGGGGUAGUGGCUUACCAAGGCUUUGACGGGUAGCCGGCCUGGGAGGGUGACCGGACACAUUGGGACUGAGAUACGGCACAGACUCCUACGGGAGGCAGCGGUGGGGAAUAUUGCACAAUGGGCGGAAGCCUGAUGCAGCACAGCCGCGUGCGGGAUGUCGGCCUUCGGGUUGUAAACCGCUUCCGCCUGUGACGAAGCGUGAGUGACGGUAAUGGGUAAAGAAGCACCGGCUAACUACGUG
This 468-nucleotide ribosomal RNA is filed under the name uncultured bacterium. RNAcentral describes it as "partial 16S ribosomal RNA". It matches the Rfam family "Bacterial small subunit ribosomal RNA", at positions 28 to 507 of the family's 1533-position model. The record is from RNAcentral.